UGGUCAGCCCAAUUAACAUAGACUUGGUGGAUAUACAAGAAAGGUGGUGGACUGGAUUAAGAAGUCAGCCCAGGAAGAUACAACUCAGCAACCUGCUGAAGAGAGCUCCAACAAGGAAGGAGAGGUUGCUGCUCAUACGAGGAACGAAGAGGAAACACCUGCGCGUGGAGCUAGAGUGCACGUGAGAUCCAGCUGGCUGAGGGACUUCGUGAGCAUGGAGAAGCAUUAACCAAUUCUGGUGUAACCAAUUCUGUUAUGAUGUGUACUUUCAUUUCUUCUUGCAUACUUGUUAAGUAUAAAUAGACUUUGUAAUGGCUGGGAUAUAUUUUAUGUUAAAUGAGAAGCUAAAAAUCAUAGGGAGAUUGGUACUGUCUCGAAGAGUACAAUUCAAAGCUAAUAUUGGUGUUUUCAUUGUUCUUGAUCAUCAUGAAGAAUGAAGACAUUGAUGCCUUUCUUCAAUCCUUGGAGCUGAGUUUUAAACAAUAUUCUGAUGCUCAAUUGGAGUAGCAGUUCGAGAAAUUUUCUGCGUUGCUUGACCAGCAUGUGCCCAAGAUGGAGGAGCGUGUCGGACAAGGUUCGAUACCAGCUUUGCUAGACAUGGAAGGGAAGGGUAGCAUCACUCAAGAUACGAGACGUUCGCCAAGAAGGCGGUCAGAUUCCAAAAUGGACUGCCGCAAAUUGAACUCGAUUCUCAAAACCUUGGUGGAUUAUGCUAUGCGUUUGUUUGUGGUUGCAUUUCAUUUGGAUGGAGUCCCAUCUACAUGGUUCCAAUGGAUGGAGAAAUGAGGUGUUAUUUAGGACUGAGAAUCAUUUUUAAGAGCUCUGUAACAGCGAUUUGGAGCAUCUAUCUAUGAUGAUCCCUUGGGUCGAAUAUCGAAGCUCACUCAAACUAAGAGGGUCUCUCAAUACCAUGUCGAGUUUGAAGCUCUUAUGCCUCGAAUUACACGUGUUGCAUAAUUUAUGUUCUUAAACUUCUUUAUUUGGGGACUGAAAUUGGAAAUACGCAGGGAGCUGUUGAUGUCUAAACCACUAGACUUGGUUGAUGCUAUGGCUAAGGCCCAAUUUUUUGAGGAGCAUAAUGAUGAUUUGUCUCUUCGCCGAAAGCUAGAGAAUACUCGUUACAGGAUGGGUUGUUCGAUCGUCUGCUACUGCUAAAGGGAAUUCAGCAAUUCAGCUAUCUUCAACCAAACAGGAGUCAGUCUCAUUAAGUUCGGCUGGUUCGCAUCUGGGCUCUAUUUCAGAGGAGGAUGAAUUUGAGACAGGUGUUGAAAAUGAGCCUCAAGAAUUUGAAGAGGUUGUUGAAGAUGAAGUUAGCCUGUAAUCACUGUCAAACUCUUUGAAUCCACGAAUUUUUCGUAUCAUGGCAAAGCAUGGAGUUGAAUCUUUGGAAGUCCUCAUUGACACUGGCAGCAACAACAACUUCAUCCAAGAAUCCUUGGCUACCCGUUUGAACUUAUCUUGGGAGGACACCAAACAAUUCAAAUUCUACAUGGGUAAUGGUAAUUUUUUACUAUGUUCGAAGAUAUGUAAGGAAGUUGAAUUGAUAUUACAGGGGCAUCGCUUUGUUGUUGAUUUAUUCAUUGUAACGCCCUACUUCCUUAGAGCCGUUACUAAGUGAGUUUUUAAACGUGCAUUCAACUCGCUAAUCGAGGUUUUCAAGUCAAAAGUGUAAUUAAAUCAUAAACAGCGAAACAAAAUUUGAAAAUAAUUCCAUUUACUAUAAAUCAUUGAAUAGUUGACA
Molecule: long non-coding RNA, 1741 nt
Organism: Humulus lupulus (European hop)
Lineage: Eukaryota; Viridiplantae; Streptophyta; Magnoliopsida; Rosales; Cannabaceae
Exons: 3
Source: RefSeq, a predicted model, not a curated record